UAAUAUAUAUUACAAAUAUAUACAUCGAAUAUAUUAUAUUGUUUAUUUUUUUUGGCAAACAUAUUUCGACAUUAGUAGAGCUGCAUGAGCAUCUUAGACAGUUCCUUACACAUCAGGCUCGAAGAUUUAUGCGAGGCGUAGAGAUGAAUUUGUAAGUUUUUUUGAAAUUUUUUGAAACUCUUCGAUCAUAUAUCACGUAUCAUAGAUGAUCUAUAGCUUGCCAAUAUGCUUUUUAUAGUAGAUGGAAGAGCAUAGAAGGGAGCCUGGUAAAGUGGAGUUCUACAGGAUGACUCAUACCUACUGAGAUGGCAACUUUGUUCGGAAGGAGUCGAGAGAUAUAAUUAGCGUGUCAGGGAGUCAUCAUCAUUCUGUGAGACCAAUCACGUCGAAGCUCAGAUGUUUGCUGAAUUGAUAGCUCUAGAGCGUUAUGGUUGAGUGAGGUGUUAUGGCAUUGGAGUUACCCCCAGUCAGUUAUCUGCAGUGAGCAAAUAUACCCCAGAUGCGAAACAAAGUAUUUGCAUUGUAGAGGUUUGUAAUCUAAAGACAGCGAUGGAGGAGAUGAGGGAGAGACAUCAAAUGGAGAUGGAGGAGAUGAGGCAGAACCAUCAAAUAGAGAUACAAUCUUUGAGGCUCAGUUUGACCAGACUGCAUCUAUAUUGCAUAGGUUUGUCCCUCCUCAAAAUUGAGAGAGAAGAUGGACCGGCUCAUGACAAGAGAUUCGUCUGUUCAGUUCGAGUUGAAACUUCAAAUAAUACUUUUAUUACAUUAAGUGACCCCAAGUGAAGGGUGAAGGAUGCUAACACCCCUAUAAGCUUCACUGUGGAAACCAAGUUAACUUUUUUUUUCUUAUUUAGGCUUAGUCAUUUUUUAAUUUACAUUUUAAUGUAGAUCAUUGUUUGUUAGUAUUGUUAUUUUAUGGCAAUUGUAGUAUUUAUUGGCGAUAUGUUCUUGGGGA
This is a non-coding RNA of Phoenix dactylifera (date palm), 955 nucleotides long. The record is from RefSeq and is a predicted model, not a curated record. NCBI's taxonomy places the organism in Eukaryota, Viridiplantae, Streptophyta, Magnoliopsida, Arecales, Arecaceae.